Molecule: ribosomal RNA, 460 nt
Filed under: uncultured bacterium
Lineage: Bacteria
Description: partial 16S ribosomal RNA
Rfam family: Bacterial small subunit ribosomal RNA
Source: RNAcentral
CCUACGGGAGGCAGCAGUGAGGAAUAUUGGUCAAUGGGCGGAAGCCUGAACCAGCCAAGUCGCGUGAGGGAAUAAGGCCCUACGGGUCGUAAACCUCUUUUGCCGGGGAGCAAGGGCGGGGACGUGUCCCGGCCCGGAGAGUACCCGGAGAAAAAGCAUCGGCUAACUCCGUGCCAGCAGCCGCGGUAAUACGGAGGAUGCGAGCGGUAUCCGGAUUUAGUGGGUUUAACGGGUGCGGAGGCGGGCUGUUAAGUCAGCGGUAAAAAGUCGGGGCUCAACCCCGUCCGGCCGUUGAAACUGGGGGCCUUGAGUGGGCGAGAAGAAGGCGGAAUGCGUGGUGUAGCGGUGAAAUGCAUAGAUAUCACGCAGAACCCCGAUUGCGAAGGCAGCCUGCCGGCGCCCUACUGACGCUGAGGCACGAAAGUGCGGGGAUCGAACAGGAUUAGAUACCCCAGUAGUC